Molecule: long non-coding RNA, 291 nt
Organism: Limulus polyphemus (Atlantic horseshoe crab)
Lineage: Eukaryota; Metazoa; Arthropoda; Merostomata; Xiphosura; Limulidae
Exons: 3
Source: RefSeq, a predicted model, not a curated record
UCUGUGCUCUGCCCGCCACGGGUAUCGAAACCCGGAUUCUAGACAUACCGCUGUGCCACUGGGGGGCAAUUUCACUUGAACUAUAAGUUUAGCACGUCCUGAAGGAUCGUCUCUAGGUGACCUUUUUGAAUGCCUAUAAAUUCGGGCUGGGCACUGUCCAACGACUGAGUUACCUGCUCAUUUUAACAUCUUAUUCAACUCUUGAUUGACUAUUUAUCGGGUGGUGCAAAGUAGUAUUCAGCUGUUUCAAGGCUUGAUCCACAAAUAUGUAUCAAUACAUUAUUGGGUUAU